UACGGAGGAUCCAAGCGUUAUCCGUAUUCAUUGGGUUUAAAGGGUGCGUAGGCGGAAUAAUAAGUCAGUGGUGAAAUCCUUCAGCUUAACUGGAGAACUGCCAUUGAUACUGUUAAUCUUGAGUACAUUUGAUGUGGGCGGAAUGUGUCAUGUAGCGGUGAAAUGCUUAGAUAUGACACAGAACACCGAUAGCGAAGGCAGCUUGCUACACAGUCAUUGACACUGAGGCACGAAAGCGUGGGGAGCAAACAGG
This 253-nucleotide ribosomal RNA is filed under the name uncultured bacterium. RNAcentral's name for it is "partial 16S ribosomal RNA". It matches the Rfam family "Bacterial small subunit ribosomal RNA", at positions 524 to 776 of the family's 1533-position model. The record is from RNAcentral.